UGCGCUGAGCGAUGCUUAACACAUGCAAGUCGAACGGUGAAGCCAAGCUUGCUUGGUGGAUCAGUGGCGAACGGGUGAGUAACACGUGAGCAACCUGCCCUGGACUCUGGGAUAAGCGCUGGAAACGGCGUCUAAUACUGGAUAUGAGCUCUCAUCGCAUGGUGGGGGUUGGAAAGAUUUUUCGGUCUGGGAUGGGCUCGCGGCCUAUCAGCUUGUUGGUGAGGUAAUGGCUCACCAAGGCGUCGACGGGUAGCCGGCCUGAGAGGGUGACCGGCCACACUGGGACUGAGACACGGCCCAGACUCCUACGGGAGGCAGCAGUGGGGAAUAUUGCACAAUGGGCGGAAGCCUGAUGC
RNAcentral lists this ribosomal RNA (356 nucleotides) under bacterium FS7. Its description in RNAcentral is "bacterial SSU rRNA". It matches the Rfam family "Bacterial small subunit ribosomal RNA", at positions 45 to 389 of the family's 1533-position model. The record is from RNAcentral.